RNAcentral lists this small nucleolar RNA (110 nucleotides) under Bos grunniens (domestic yak). Its description in RNAcentral is "Small nucleolar RNA SNORA70 (ENSBGRG00000023377.1)". It matches the Rfam family "Small nucleolar RNA SNORA70". From Rfam's summary of the family: snoRNA U70 seems to be exclusive to mammals and is a member of the H/ACA class of snoRNA which contain H (ANANNA) and ACA box motifs. The record is from Rfam by way of RNAcentral. Lineage: Eukaryota; Metazoa; Chordata; Mammalia; Artiodactyla; Bovidae.
CUGCUUUUCCAGCCCUGUACUCCUCUGCCCCUGGAACCCGGUGGGCAGUGGCUGCAGACAGCAGCCUCCUCAGUAGUGUGUGCAGCCUGUUUGGGACCUUGGAGACAGCC